CAAGUAUUAACACGCAAGGGUCUUUGUCUAAAUGUGUAUAAAAGGUUUGUGAAAUUUGUGUAAGACAGAGUCUUUUGUACCAAGGUACAGGCUCUCCUUUUUCUGCAAAAUAAAGCAUUUUUCCUUA
Molecule: long non-coding RNA, 127 nt
Organism: Gopherus flavomarginatus (Mexican gopher tortoise)
Lineage: Eukaryota; Metazoa; Chordata; Testudines; Testudinidae
Exons: 2
Source: RefSeq, a predicted model, not a curated record